Long non-coding RNA from Spinacia oleracea (spinach), 281 nucleotides. RefSeq lists it as uncharacterized. The record is from RefSeq and is a predicted model, not a curated record. The transcript is spliced from 3 exons. NCBI's taxonomy places the organism in Eukaryota, Viridiplantae, Streptophyta, Magnoliopsida, Caryophyllales, Amaranthaceae.
CAGACAGUUCUAUUUUGAAGUACAUAGAGGCUUACGACACCAAAAAGAAAGCAGGAGGGGCUAUGUUGAUUGAAUGUGAUGGGAACGACGCAAACCAGCAGAUGUGUUACUCGGUUGUUCACCCCAGGUCCUAUGUGAAUUCCCAGUAUGUUCGUACAAUUGCAUAUCUCUACAACCGGGAGUGGGCUAGUGAAUUUCCAAAGAGUUGUCGCAGACUUAUGCUUGACUCUAUGUUUGCACAUCAAAAGCUAAAGACGAAAGAAACAUAUGCUGGGUUGUUC